This 253-nucleotide ribosomal RNA is filed under the name uncultured bacterium. RNAcentral describes it as "partial 16S ribosomal RNA". It matches the Rfam family "Bacterial small subunit ribosomal RNA", at positions 524 to 776 of the family's 1533-position model. The record is from RNAcentral.
GACGUAGGGCGCGAGCGUUGUCCGGAUUUAUUGGGCGUAAAGAGCUCGUAGGCGGUUUGUCGCGUCUGCUGUGAAAACUCGGGGCUUAACCCUGGGCCUGCAGUGGGUACGGGCAGACUAGAGUGCGGUAGGGGAGACUGGAAUUCCUGGUGUAGCGGUGAAAUGCGCAGAUAUCAGGAGGAACACCGGUGGCGAAGGCGGUUCUCUGGGCAUUACCUGACGCUGAGGAGCGAAAGUGUGGGGAGCGAACAGG